CAGCCGCCGCGGGAAUACGAAGGGUGCAAGCGUUAAUCGGAAUUACUGGGCGUAAAGCGUGCGUAGGCGGUGAGUUAAGUCUGCUGUGAAAUCCCCGGGCUCAACCUGGGAAUGGCAAUGGAUACUGGCAAGCUAGAGUGUGUCAGAGGAUGGUGGAAUUCUCGGUGUAGCGGUGAAAUGCGUAGAGAUCGGGAGGAACAUCAGUGGCGAAGGCGGCCAUCUGGGACAACACUGACGCUGAGGCACGAAAGCGUGGGGAGCAAACAGGAUUAGAUACCCCCGUAGUCCCUGUCUCUUAUAC
Molecule: ribosomal RNA, 301 nt
Filed under: uncultured bacterium
Lineage: Bacteria
Description: partial 16S ribosomal RNA
Rfam family: Bacterial small subunit ribosomal RNA
Source: RNAcentral